Molecule: long non-coding RNA, 3879 nt
Organism: Olea europaea var. sylvestris
Lineage: Eukaryota; Viridiplantae; Streptophyta; Magnoliopsida; Lamiales; Oleaceae
Exons: 2
Source: RefSeq, a predicted model, not a curated record
UCGAGAAAGACCGACAGAGACCAAGAGAAUGGAAGAAAGAAAGGAAGAGGAGGAGUAGAAGAAGAGGAAGUGGAUUUCCAAGCUUGGUGCUUCAUUUCUUCAAUUUCUCAUUUGAUUUAGAGAGGAACCUUAUACUGGUGAGGAUUUGGUGGCUGUAGGUAAUGGAUCUGGUCUCUCCAUUUCCAGUAUCAUUUCUUUCUCUAUCCAAAAUCCUCAAAAAAAUUAUCCCUUAAAGAUGUACUACAUUUUUCUAAUGCCUUGAUCAAUUUGCUCUCUAUCAAUAAAUUCUGCCUGGAUAACAAUUGUUAUUUUAUUCUAACUGAUACUCAUUAUUGUGUCAAGGACAAGAUAACGGGAAAAAAAGCUUCUAGAGGGAAAAAGUGAAGGUGGUCUCUAUUCUAUCACGUUGAAUAAAGUUUUUCCUAAUGACUACUGUGCUAGUGAAGCUAUAUUUAGGACCAAAACCUCUCUUGAUAUGUGGCAUGCUUGACCAAGCAAAUCAUCUUCUCCUUUAACUUCCCAAUUGCUGAUUCUUUGUUUCAAGAGUCUAUUUGUCCUUAUCGUCAAUUAGGGAAAAAUUAAACAAUUAUCGGUUAAUCGGUCUAAUAGAGUGUCGGUUAGUCCGUUAAAUCUCAAGUCACUCUUCUGAGCCAAGGAAGGAAGAAAAAAGCUCGGCAAAGACUAAGCCGAAUAGGAAAGAUUAUUCAAUCUUAACCGAAUAAAGAUCGGGAUUAGGAGAAAGAGAAUAGGAUAUCCCAGAUCGAAAGGAGAUCCUCGACGUAAACAUUUAGUUCACUAUCAGCAAAAGCACCACCUAGUUUAGGAGCAUGUUGAGACUGGGCCAAGUUCUCUUUUGGAUCAACCUUAGUCUACAAAGGGAAUUGGGCCUUUCCUUUGUCUCGCAAUGCUCUGUUAGCAAUUUAAGCCAUCAGUCGUCUACACAAUGCACGAGGAACCAUAGCCAACUUCCCAAUCUGUGUCUUUCAAGUGGUUGUCGAUAUUAUGCUAUUUUUAUUGAUGAUUAUUCACGUUUUACUUGGAUGUAUCAUAUUUCAACUAAAUCAGAAGUUUUAGUUGUUUUGUCAAAUUUAAACUAUUAGCGAAAAACCUUUUCUCUUGUAAAAUUAAACAAUUUCAAUUAGAUAAUGGUAGAGAAUAUACUCCAAAUCAAUACAUUUCAUUUAUUAAUUCUCAUGGUAUUCUCCAUUGACUUACUUGUCCAUAUACAUCACAACAAACAGAGUUUUCAAAAGAAACGUCAUAUUGUGGAAAUUGGAUUAUCCUUAUUGGCUCAAUCCAAUCUUCCAAAACAAUUUUGGGUCAAUGCCUUUUCCGCUGCCAUAUUUAUCAUCAAUCGACGUCGACUCCUAUUUUACAUUCCGACUUUCCUUAUAGUCUUCUAUUCAAAAGAUCACCUAAUUACUCUCAACUAAAAUCUUUUGGGUGUGCUUGUUAUCCUCUCCUUAGACACUAUAAUACAAACAAGCUUGCCUUCUGCAGUAAACAGUGCAUCUUCAUAGGCUACUCAUCCAAUGAAAGAGGUUAUCAAUGUCUUGAUCCCAUCUCGAAGAGAGUAUAUUUAUCACGGCAUGUAGUGUUUGAUGAAAUUUGUUUUCCUGCCAAGGAUACGUUCAUUGUCACUCGUCCACUGAAAGAUUUUCACUUAUUGUGCAUCCAAGAUUUUCUCCAAGCAGCUCCUUUGACUGAAAUCACUCUUCCUCACCGAAUCCAUAUCUCAUCUCAUCAAUUCCGAUCACUCUCCACGUGAACAAGUAUCCAACUCUAAUAUUUUCAGCUCUCUCCAUAUCUUGCCUCUUUCGGACAAUUUUUCUCACUCGGUGGAUGAUUCUUCACCCAUUCAAUAAGUCAUCUCUCCCACAGAACCCAUAGUCACGGAUUCCUCUCACCGUUCUACCUCAUCUUCCUUACCUCCCAAUGAUUCAGUUCCUCCUUCCAAUCAAAUUGUGACAAGAUCAUAAAUAGUUCUUCACAACCCAAGCAAUUCCCUAAUUUCGUUACCCACUAUUUGACUCGACAUCCUAUAUCUGCCUUGGCUAGGAUUCCUUUACCUAAAGAACCAUUGAAUUUCACACAAGAAAUAGUUUCUGCAGAGUGGAAAAAGCCAAUGGAUGAGGAAUAUUCUACUUUACUUGCCAAUAACACAUGGACCCUUUGUCCCCAACCUAUUGAUCAUAAAGUUAUUGACACUAAGUGAGUCUAUAAAAUUAAACAAAACGUGAAUGUUUCUCUCGACCUUCGCAAAGCUCGCUUAGUGGCUAAGAGAUGUAAUCAAAUUUGUGGCAUUGAUUUUUCUGAGACUUUUAGUCCUGUUAUCAAACCUGCCACUGUUCGCAUUGUUUUGACUCUUCUCGUACACUUUGGAUGGGAUAUCAAGAAAUUGGAUGUGUCUAAUGCCUUCCUUCAUAGUACUCUUGAUGAAGAAGUUUACAUUUCUCAACCUCAAAGUUAUGUUGAUCCACACCAUCUGCAUUAUGUAUGCCUUCUAGUAAUAAGGUCCUUUAUGGAUUAAAGUAGGCUCCAAGAGCUUAGUUUAAUUGAUUCUCUCAAUGUCUUUUGGAACUUAGAUUUUUGGAUCCUCGGCUCAUCACUCUCUUUUUACUUAUCACAAAACUGAUGUUCAUAUUUUUAUUUUGGUCUAUGUGAAUGAAAUUCUUAUUAUAGGAUCACAUAACUCAUUCGUUGCCUUAUUGCUCCAGUAAGUAAAAUAUGAUCCUGCCUUGAAGGAUUUGGGGUCUCUUUAUUAUUUUCUUGGAAUUCUGGUCACUCGUGACUCUCAAGGUUUGCAUCUCUGUCAAUCCAAGUACAUAUUAGACAUUUUAGAUCGUGCUCAUGUGGUUGGUACCAGGCUGUAUUCAACACCAUCUACCUUAGGUUCGAAGCUUGCUGCGUCUAGUGGUGAUCCUUUUUGUCAUGCCACUAAAUAUCAUCAAACUGUUGGUGCUCUCCAAUAUUGCACUCUUACUUGUCCAAAAUUGCUUAUUCCAUCAAUCAACUUUGUCAACAUCUCCACGCUCCUACUACUAUACAUUGGAUGGCUGCUCAAUAUGUCCACUGCUAUCUUAAAAGUACGGUUGAUCAUGGUCUUACUUUCUCCAAGGGGAGUCUUUACUUACUAGCAUAUAGUGAUUCUAAUUGGACGGGUAAUCCGGGUGAUCAUCCCUCCACCACUAGCUUUGGUACUUUCUUAGGUCCUUGUUUGAUUUCUUGGUGUGCUAAGAAUCAAUCGAUCGUUGCUCGAUCAAGUACUAAGGUAGAAUAUCGGGCUUUAGCAAUGACUGUUGCCGGACUCUAUUGGAUUAGGAUGGUUCUCAAAGAUUUACAGGUCCCUCUUACACAUGUUCCAACUAUUUGAUGCGAUAAUUUAGGUACUAUUCCCCUUGCCUGCAAUCCCAUUUUUCAUGCUCGCACUAAGCAUGUGGAGGUGGAUGUUCAUUUUAUUCGGGAGAAAAGUUUGAAUAAGGAUGUUGCUAUUAAGUUUAUUUCUACAUAUGACCAAAUUGUCAAUGUUUUCACAAAGGAGCGGGCUUCUUCUCGAUUCUCUUUCUCAAGGCCAAGCUUAUGGUUUGUCUUCCCCCUAUUUGCUUGCAGGGGGAUGUUAAGGAAACUAAUAGUCAGCAUACUAUAUUGGAAGAGAUAUGAUUGCUUGAUUAUAGGAAGAGAUGUGAUUGCUUGAUUACAACAUUUUUUUUCUUUCAUUCCUUUACAACAUUUUUCUCUUUCAUUCCUUUUAAACUUUAUUCUUUCCUUUUAGUCAUUAUUCUUUCUUUGUACAUAAUAUAUAGCCUUCAUUGUAAACUCUUAUAUAAGUGAAUACAUGUUUCUGGUCUUGGCACUUUGGACCAACACCAUUUUGUACAA